GACGAACCGUGCGAACGUUGUUCGGAAUCACUGGGCUUAAAGGGCGCGUAGGCGGGCCACCAAGUCAGGGGUGAAAUCCUGCGGCUCAACCGUAGAAGUGCCUUUGAUACUGGCGGCCUGGAGGGAGGUAGGGGCGUGCGGAACUUCCGGUGGAGCGGUGAAAUGCGUAGAUAUCGGAAGGAACACCAGUGGCGAAAGCGGCGCGCUGGACCUCUUCUGACGCUGAGGCGCGAAAGCCAGGGGAGCGAACGGG
RNAcentral lists this ribosomal RNA (253 nucleotides) under uncultured bacterium. RNAcentral describes it as "partial 16S ribosomal RNA". It matches the Rfam family "Bacterial small subunit ribosomal RNA", at positions 524 to 776 of the family's 1533-position model. The record is from RNAcentral.